UGUGUGUAUAUGUAGAGCAAUGGAUAAUUUACAUCAAAUUAGAGAACAAUGGUUGUCUGUUGGAGUUAACAAAAGUACUGUUCAUAAAAAACAAGACAAUUGAAGUUCUUCAUUUAAUCCCUUCGGAUAUACACAGUCCAUAUAAUAGAUCCACUUAGCUUCACAUUGUAACAAAAGCCUGUGAC
This is a long non-coding RNA of Sinocyclocheilus rhinocerous, 185 nucleotides long. RefSeq lists it as uncharacterized. The record is from RefSeq and is a predicted model, not a curated record. Lineage: Eukaryota; Metazoa; Chordata; Actinopteri; Cypriniformes; Cyprinidae. The transcript has 3 exons.